UAGGGGUGGAAACGAGCUGAGCUUGAGCGAGCUUACCUCGGCUCAAAUUCGGCUUGAAAUUAAUUUCGAGCCUAAAUUUAAGCUCAAGCUUGGAUUGAAAUUAAUUCGAGCCGAGCUCGAGCGAGCCUAAUUUCAAGUCGAGCGAGCUCGAGCCCUACGAGCCACUUGAAAUUCUCAACAUUAUACGACCAAUAGUUUAAUUUGUAUAGAACAUUAUCUAUAAUUUGAUAUAAAAAUAUGUCUAAUAGUUCAAAGUACAAAAUAAUUAUAUGAAAUAUAGUAUUAUAAUAUGAAAAAAAAUAAUUUAUGAAUUGAAUAUCUAAUUUUUUCAGCCUCACAUGUCUUUUCUUCCGCCUUCAAUCUCUAUAUUAUUCAUUUUUAUUUAUGCAGUCAAAAAUAAAUAAUUUAUAUAGAUAAAUAUUGAAUUAAACUAUCCAAUCAUAUAUAACUAAAAUUAAAAUUUUAUAUGAAUAAUAAUUUUUUACUUUAAAAAUAUUCUGUAUAUUUUCUCAAGCAUACAAUUAAUAGUAAGGUAGUCAACGACGGGCAUAUGAUGUUACUUGGUAACUUAGAGGGUUUCCGGCUUGGCCACUUAGGGUGAGAGACAGAAAAAGAGAAAGAGAGAAACAUAUUGAAAAUUUAGAGCUCUGUGAAAGAAGAAAGAAAGAAAAAAUAUAUAAAUUUAGUAAAAUUUUACUCUUUUAUUUGUCUAUUGGAUUUGUUUUUAUGGGCCAACAACAUUGGCCUAUUUUAACUAAACUCAGAUUAUUCACUCAGCCUAUAUAUAAUUAAAAUAUAUUAUAUUUAUAUAUUUUUUAAUAUGUAUAUAGUGUAGAACUACUAUGCUAUCGAAAAUAUAGAGGAUUUGAUAUUUUUGAAUUUUUGACCCUUUGAUUAAAAAUUGUGUGGUUGGGAUGAUUGCGGUCUCCCCUAGGAUUAAAUAAUACUCUUAGGAUUGAGGGGUCCCUACAAGGUAAUAAUAAUAUUAAUCCAAAGAUAAGAAACGAUUAAAGGGAUUGAUCUAAGAAUCAAAAAAUCGAAAGCACCAUAUCUUUAUACUUUUGAUAGCAUAGUAGCUCUACUAUAUAUAUAUAUAUAUAUAUAUAUAUUCGAGCUUUUCGAGCCUAAUUCGAACGAGCCGAGUAAUACUCAAGCUCGGCUUGAAAUGAAUUUCGAGCCUUUUUUUUUGUUCAAGCUCGGCUCAUU
Molecule: long non-coding RNA, 1206 nt
Filed under: Ananas comosus (pineapple)
Lineage: Eukaryota; Viridiplantae; Streptophyta; Magnoliopsida; Poales; Bromeliaceae
Description: long non-coding RNA (ACOM_LNC029748)
Source: RNAcentral